Molecule: ribosomal RNA, 898 nt
Filed under: Pyricularia grisea
Lineage: Eukaryota; Fungi; Ascomycota; Sordariomycetes; Magnaporthales; Pyriculariaceae
Description: partial large subunit ribosomal RNA
Rfam family: Eukaryotic large subunit ribosomal RNA
Source: RNAcentral
GCAUAUCAAUAAGCGGAGGAAAAGAAACCAACAGGGAUUGCCCCAGUAACGGCGAGUGAAGCGGCAACAGCUCAAAUUUGAAAUCUGGCCCCCCGGCCCGAGUUGUAAUUUGCAGAGGAUGCUUUUGGUGAGGCACCUACCGAGUCCCCUGGAAUGGGGCGCCAUAGAGGGUGAGAGCCCCGUAUGGUAGGACGCCGAACCUCUGUAAAGCUCCUUCGACGAGUCGAGUAGUUUGGGAAUGCUGCUCUAAAUGGGAGGUAAAUUUCUUCUAAAGCUAAAUACCGGCCAGAGACCGAUAGCGCACAAGUAGAGUGAUCGAAAGAUGAAAAGCACUUUGAAAAGAGGGUUAAAAAGUACGUGAAAUUGUUGAAAGGGAAGCGCUUGUGACCAGACUUGCGCCGGGCGGAUCCUCCAGCGUUCUCGCUGGUGCACUCCGCCCGGUUCAGGCCAGCAUCGGUUUUCGCCGGGGGACAAAGGCUUCGGGAACGUGGCUCCUUUCGGGGAGUGUUAUAGCCCGUUGCGUAAUACCCCGGCGGGGACCGACGACCGCGCUUCGGCAAGGAUGCUGGCGUAAUGGUCAUCAGCGACCCGUCUUGAAACACGGACCGAGGAGUCAAGCAUUAGUGCGAGUGUUUGGGUGUAAACCCCGCACGCGUAAUGAAAGUGAACGUAGGUGAGAGCUUCGGCGCAUCAUCGACCGAUCCUGAUGUUUUCGGAAGGAUUUGAGUAGGAGCAUUAACGCUUGGACCCGAAAGAUGGUGAACUAUACUUGAAUAGGGUGAAGCCAGAGGAAACUCUGGUGGAGGCUCGCAGCGGUUCUGACGUGCAAAUCGAUCGUCAAAUUUGAGUAUAGGGGCGAAAGACUAAUCGAACCAUCUAGUAGCUGGUUUCAGCCGAA